UGUUGAAACAAUCUCUGGUGAGC
This 23-nucleotide microRNA is filed under the name Dasypus novemcinctus (nine-banded armadillo). RNAcentral's name for it is "dno-miR-653-5p". Its record names the gene dno-miR-653-5p. The record is from miRBase by way of RNAcentral. Lineage: Eukaryota; Metazoa; Chordata; Mammalia; Cingulata; Dasypodidae.